ACGGCUGCCAUUGUUCCUUGUCCCUCAGGGCUGCCAUUGCUGCCCUUGCUGCCCCUGCUGCCAGUGCUCCUCAUCUCUCAGGGCUGCCAUUGCUCCUUGUCCCUCAGCCAUUGCCACCAGUCACCGUGUCCCCCAGAACUGCCACCCCCCAGUGCACCUUGUCCCUCAUUCACCAUGGCCCUGCACCUUGUCCUUCUGCUGCUGUUGUCUGCUGGCUCCUGCUUUCAGCCACCACCGCCCAGCAGCAUCUUUUGUCCCUCAGUGCCACCUCCCAAGCUCACCAGUCACCCCAGUGUGUUUAAGGACAGGCUGAGGUCGUGGUGGCAUGGGCUCGUUUCGGAGGGUGCUCUGGAAACGGGUGUAAUGUCUGCAAAGGGAAACUGAGGGACUGCAAGCCUCCACCACAUCAGAAACUCGGGCACUUCUGCUUUUUGAUCUCAGUUUUCACGAUAUAAUGGAGUGGAGAUUAUGAACAACACUUCAUCUGUAAAUAAUAAAGCUUGAUCCAGAACUUAAGCUGAUGAAACACAGGAAA
This is a long non-coding RNA of Pseudopipra pipra, 535 nucleotides long. RefSeq lists it as uncharacterized. NCBI's taxonomy places the organism in Eukaryota, Metazoa, Chordata, Aves, Passeriformes, Pipridae. The record is from RefSeq and is a predicted model, not a curated record. The transcript has 2 exons.